CGCGGUGAAUACGUUCCCGGACCUUGUACACACCGCCCGUCAAGCCAUGGAAGUCUGGGAGACCUGAAGCCGGCGGUAACAGCACCGGUAAGGGUAAAACAGGUAACUGGGGCU
This 114-nucleotide ribosomal RNA is filed under the name uncultured bacterium. RNAcentral describes it as "partial 16S ribosomal RNA". It matches the Rfam family "Bacterial small subunit ribosomal RNA", at positions 1358 to 1482 of the family's 1533-position model. The record is from RNAcentral.